Molecule: ribosomal RNA, 733 nt
Filed under: Ectopseudomonas chengduensis
Lineage: Bacteria; Pseudomonadati; Pseudomonadota; Gammaproteobacteria; Pseudomonadales; Pseudomonadaceae
Description: bacterial SSU rRNA
Rfam family: Bacterial small subunit ribosomal RNA
Source: RNAcentral
UGCAAGUCGAGCGGAUGAGAGGAGCUUGCUCCUUGAUUUAGCGGCGGACGGGUGAGUAAUGCCUAGGAAUCUGCCUGGUAGUGGGGGAUAACGUCCGGAAACGGGCGCUAAUACCGCAUACGUCCUACGGGAGAAAGCAGGGGACCUUCGGGCCUUGCGCUAUCAGAUGAGCCUAGGUCGGAUUAGCUAGUUGGUGAGGUAAUGGCUCACCAAGGCGACGAUCCGUAACUGGUCUGAGAGGAUGAUCAGUCACACUGGAACUGAGACACGGUCCAGACUCCUACGGGAGGCAGCAGUGGGGAAUAUUGGACAAUGGGCGAAAGCCUGAUCCAGCCAUGCCGCGUGUGUGAAGAAGGUCUUCGGAUUGUAAAGCACUUUAAGUUGGGAGGAAGGGCAUUAACCUAAUACGUUAGUGUUUUGACGUUACCGACAGAAUAAGCACCGGCUAACUUCGUGCCAGCAGCCGCGGUAAUACGAAGGGUGCAAGCGUUAAUCGGAAUUACUGGGCGUAAAGCGCGCGUAGGUGGUUCGUUAAGUUGGAUGUGAAAGCCCCGGGCUCAACCUGGGAACUGCAUCCAAAACUGGCGAGCUAGAGUACGGUAGAGGGUGGUGGAAUUUCCUGUGUAGCGGUGAAAUGCGUAGAUAUAGGAAGGAACACCAGUGGCGAAGGCGACCACCUGGACUGAUACUGACACUGAGGUGCGAAAGCGUGGGGAGCAAACAGGAUUAGAUA